AUGAACGCUGGCGGCAGGCCUAAAACAUGCAAGUCGAACGCUUGUAGCAAUACAAGAGUGGCGCACGGGUGAGUAACAUGUGGGAAUAUGCCUUUUGGUACGGAACAACUUUUGGAAACGAAAGCUAAUACCGGAUGAUGUCUUCGGACCAAAGAUUUAUCGCCCAGGGAUGAGCCCGCGUAGGAUUAGGUAGUUGGUGGGGUAAAGGCCUACCAAGCCGACGAUCCUUAGCUGGUCUGAGAGGAUGAUCAGCCACACUGGGACUGAGACACGGCCCAGACUCCUACGGGAGGCAGCAGUGGGGAAUAUUGGACAAUGGGCGAAAGCCUGAUCCAGCAAUGCCGCGUGAGUGAUGAAGGCCUUAGGGUUGUAAAGCUCUUUUACCCGGGAUGAUAAUGACAGUACCGGGAGAAUAAGCUCCGGCUAACUCCGU
RNAcentral lists this ribosomal RNA (433 nucleotides) under uncultured bacterium. RNAcentral's name for it is "bacterial SSU rRNA". It matches the Rfam family "Bacterial small subunit ribosomal RNA", at positions 29 to 506 of the family's 1533-position model. The record is from RNAcentral.